RNAcentral lists this ribosomal RNA (250 nucleotides) under uncultured Actinomycetales bacterium. RNAcentral's name for it is "partial 16S ribosomal RNA". It matches the Rfam family "Bacterial small subunit ribosomal RNA", at positions 83 to 334 of the family's 1533-position model. Lineage: Bacteria; Bacillati; Actinomycetota; Actinomycetes; Actinomycetales. The record is from RNAcentral.
UGGGGUGCUCGAGUGGCGAACGGGUGAGUAACACGUGAGUAACCUGCCCUUGACUUUGGGAUAACUUCAGGAAACUGGGGCUAAUACCGGAUAGGAGCUCCUGCUGCAUGGUGGGGGUUGGAAAGUUUCGGCGGUUGGGGAUGGACUCGCGGCUUAUCAGCUUGUUGGUGGGGUAGUGGCUUACCAAGGCUUUGACGGGUAGCCGGCCUGAGAGGGCGACCGGCCACAUUGGGACUGAGAUACGGCCCAG